Molecule: long non-coding RNA, 727 nt
Organism: Arabidopsis thaliana (thale cress)
Lineage: Eukaryota; Viridiplantae; Streptophyta; Magnoliopsida; Brassicales; Brassicaceae
Product: other RNA
Exons: 2
Source: RefSeq
AUUCAAAAGUGUAUAAUUUGGAAACUGGAAUAUUCUUUCAUGGGAAGUCUGGCCGAAGAAGGCGGCGACCUCCUUCUUCCUCGUGGCGGUGUCUCCGGUGGUGCCAAAACCGGGGAAGGACUUUGCAGCGGUGAUAAAGGCGUUGUAAGUGUAGAAACCUCUAGCAGGACAAGCGGCAUCAUUCCUAUGCUUAAGCAUAUCAUCGAACUGAGAACUUGAAAUGAUGCCCGAAAGAUCGCCGGUGGGUCCAGGAGGAGUACCACCGGGAGUGCACUGGCUUUGGCAGCCAGGCUGCUUACAGUAUGGUUCGGUGUUACCGCACCAGCCGAACUCGCUGCAGCAUAGACCGUUGGGGCAGAGUGCUCCUCCAGCUUGGCGACCACAUUGCUCGGCCGAGGAUAAUGAUAGGAGAAGUGAAAAGAUGAGAAAGAGAAAAAGAUUAGUCUUCAUUUUGUUCAAUGUUCUAUGGUUUUCUUUUUGUGGAGGCAUGAAAGAUAUAUAUAGAUCCAAUUAAUGAAUGUUUUAUCACAUCAAAUUCUAUCUUUUUCCAUAGUUUAUUGUUUGUUAUGUCUAUGGAGUGUGGCUAUGGGGAACAAACAGUAUUUGGUAGGUUUGUUUUUGAUUAUAUUUAUUUUCCUUCCGUCAUUGUUGCUAGGUUAGAUAUUGAUUUGUUUUUUUGGGGGAUUAUCAUGUUAAUUCCAAGUAAUGAGAACUUUCUAUGUAUGAA